AAUGAUAUUGGCACGAGUCAAGCUUUUCGAGAAAUCAUAAGCCUCGUUGUUUAUUUAGGUGAAAUGAAUCUAUUUUAUCUUAUUAAAAUCAGUUCGAAAUGCUGUGAAUCAUUUUUAUGCUAAUCUAUUUUAUCUGUCUUAAUUUACUUGGCUUUAGAUAUUUUAGAUGAUAUUUGUUUACUCAUUGGGAUUAUAUAAUCUCACCACCCUCCUUUCCACCCCUUUCAAGCUCAAGAUAGUCGGUAGAUAGCUCAUUUCAUUGAGGGUUACAGUUGGACUUGCAUCCUAAAAAACUGUAGGUUUACCGCUUUUGAUACUUUUGGUAGUUCGUGGGCCCACAUGUCACUGUAAAUUAAAUCUUAUGCUUUGGUUAUCUGUAUUAUAGUAUGUAUAAAUUUAUUUAGUUUUUACGCAAAAUUAUUUACUGGUAACUCUAUAAAUAUUGUUUUGUAAGAAAAUAAAAUAUUUUUAUUAUAUUCAAAUAGGUAUAGUUNAAAUGCCCCUAGUAAGAAAAAAAUUAUUUUUCUAUUGUUUUGAUUUGGAAAUAGUUUAUAAUCUCUCAAAACAUGAUACUUAACAACUGUUGCUCACAGGGGAGGUGCGAAAACUGAUAUUAAAACCUUGCGAGGUUCCGGUUGGCAUCCGAGCAAUGAAUGUCUAUCGGGACGUCGCAGCGGUUGUCACGGGCUCGAGGGGAGUACCGAGUCUUGACACAUUAACUCAGGAGGAAAUGGGAAGACAUAGUAGAAAUAAACAAUGUAAAAGCCCAAUUUGGGAUUAUCUCUGUUAAGCUAUGGUGAUGUAUAAAUCACUAUAUUUCAAAGGAAGAUUAAGACAUUUAGGUGGAUAUUUAAGAAACACAAUCUAGGGUUGUUGUCAAACAUGACUUGGUUAACUUUUUAUUUGAUUAAUUUAUCUUUCUAUUUGAGUAAAUAAAUAGUAAUUAAAAGACAUGUCUGUUACAAG
Molecule: long non-coding RNA, 966 nt
Filed under: Theobroma cacao (cacao)
Lineage: Eukaryota; Viridiplantae; Streptophyta; Magnoliopsida; Malvales; Malvaceae
Description: long non-coding RNA (TCAC_LNC004860)
Source: RNAcentral